GCUAAGUGUAAAAAAAUAUAACAUACGACUCUAACAUCCAGAAGUGUCUUCAACAAGUGAGUACAUGAAUGAAACUACUAGCUAAAGGUAGAAUAGAAGGAGACUCUUCCGGUCUGCGGACGCGGCAGAUGCAUACCUCAAGCCUCCAAAUGUAGCUCCGAGAUCACUAAUAGCGCGCCCGACCAGUAGUACCUGGAUCUG
Molecule: long non-coding RNA, 201 nt
Filed under: Nicotiana benthamiana
Lineage: Eukaryota; Viridiplantae; Streptophyta; Magnoliopsida; Solanales; Solanaceae
Description: long non-coding RNA (NBEN_LNC011987)
Source: RNAcentral